GAUGCUGACGUCCCUCCUCCCUCUUCUAUCCUCUUCUUCCUCCUCACCUCCUCCUUUUCCUCAUCAUCCUCCCCCUCCAAGCCCUUCCCCCUCCUCCCCUUUCUCCCUCCCACUCCUCCUCCUCCUCCUUCAAGUCGUUCCUCCUCCUCUCCUUUUAAAAGAAAAGUACUCUAUAAGUCAAUCGUAUGAGUGAUAUGAUGGAAUUUUUCUUUGUAAACUUCAACUC
This 226-nucleotide long non-coding RNA is filed under the name Elaeis guineensis (African oil palm). RNAcentral describes it as "long non-coding RNA (EGUI_LNC014263)". The record is from RNAcentral. Lineage: Eukaryota; Viridiplantae; Streptophyta; Magnoliopsida; Arecales; Arecaceae.